Long non-coding RNA from Drosophila ananassae, 990 nucleotides. RefSeq lists it as uncharacterized. The record is from RefSeq and is a predicted model, not a curated record. The transcript has 3 exons. Lineage: Eukaryota; Metazoa; Arthropoda; Insecta; Diptera; Drosophilidae.
GGCAAUUUACUUCGCAACACUCGCUUUUACUGCUGGCAGGGCAAAGUUUUGUUUCGACGGCUUAUAUGAGAUGGCUUCUCGCCACUCCAGCCACGUCCAAUAUCCAACCAUGCACGCAAAAGUUUGCCAAAAACUUCUCUCGAGUCUAACAAAUUCAAUUUGUCAGGCCUGGCGCGCCUCGGAGUGCGGCUAAUCCAUUUACAAUUUCAAAGUAAACAAACAAAAUGUAUCCUCAGCUCGUCGAGACAUUUAGCUUUGGCAUAUCCAAUGAAAAUGCAGUGCAAACUUUGCGGAAAACUGUCAACAGCUUUGCUCGAGAGUUUUGUGUGCAGUUUUGAAAGCCUACUUCAGGCACUUAUACAAUAUUUUUAUGACUAAUAAAACGUAUUUCAUUAUGUUUAAAUACGUAAGUGAUUUAAGACAUUUUAAUUAUUGCUACACGAAACAAACCCCGAUAAAUGUUUAUAACUACACGUUAUAAAAUAUCCUUUGCUAUACAUGUAUGAUUAAUACAUUUAUAGAUUUUUAAAACGGUUAAAACUACAAAAAAAUAAAAAAAAUAAAAAAAUUAAAAAAAACGCCCUCCUCCUCGAUUCUCAUAAGUGCCACUUAAGCGCCCUCAAAAAAUAUUUUUAUAAGAAUUUUUUUUUUUUUUUAUUGUUAUUUUUAUUUUUUUUUUAUAUACUCCCCUUUUCCUCCCCUCUUCCUCCCCUCCUCCUCGAGUCUUAUUACAUUAAGAUAUAUUGAGAUUUGUUUUUGUCUUCAAUAUCAUUCAAAAUUCAAGUGGAAGAAAACUGAGGCAACUAAGGCAACAAAUUGGUCAACGCAAUAACGCGCAUACGCCCCAUGGACACGUUUCCCAUGCUCUAUGGACGAAUUUACCUUAAAAUUAAAUUCGAGGAUUUUGCAUCCAGGCAAGUAAUCUAUAUAUAGCUAUAUACCUGAGGCUUUAUACACUUACAUAUACAAUAUAUAUGUAUAUAAACAUAU